RNAcentral lists this transfer RNA (96 nucleotides) under Pyrobaculum sp. RNAcentral's name for it is "tRNA-Glu". Lineage: Archaea; Thermoproteati; Thermoproteota; Thermoprotei; Thermoproteales; Thermoproteaceae. The record is from RNAcentral.
CAACCGGUAGUCUAGCUCGGUCAAGGAUGUGGGCCUUUCGAGCCCGUGACCCGGGUUCAGGGGAGAACCCGCCCAAAAAUCCCGGCCGGGGCACCA